RNAcentral lists this ribosomal RNA (437 nucleotides) under uncultured eukaryote. Its description in RNAcentral is "SSU rRNA". It matches the Rfam family "Eukaryotic small subunit ribosomal RNA", at positions 1044 to 1489 of the family's 1831-position model. The record is from RNAcentral.
GACCGAGGGCCCGGAGGAGUUACGUACGACCCUCCGGGCCCUCCCGCGAGAAAUCAGGAGUAUUCGGGUUCCGGGGGGAGUAUGGUCGCAAGGCCGAAACUUAAAGGAAUUGACGGAAGGGCACCACCAGGAGUGGAAUCUGCGGCUUAAUUUGACCAACGCGGGAAAACUCACCAGGUCAGGACACGGUAAGGAUUGACGGACUGAAGGCUCUUUCUCGAUUCCGUGGAAAGUGGUGCAUGGCCGUUUUUGGUUGGUGGAUCGAUCCGUCUGGUUAAUUCCGUUAACGAACGAGACCUCGGCACUCCGAAUAGCGCGGCGGACGUCGCGGCCUCCGGGCCGUCUUCCGCACGAGCUUCUUAGAGGGACCGUCCCCCGCCGGGGAAGGAGGUGCGAGGCAACGACAGGUCUGUGAUGCCCUUAGAUGUUCUGGGCCG